This 397-nucleotide ribosomal RNA is filed under the name uncultured bacterium. RNAcentral's name for it is "partial 16S ribosomal RNA". It matches the Rfam family "Bacterial small subunit ribosomal RNA", at positions 523 to 918 of the family's 1533-position model. The record is from RNAcentral.
AUACGUAGGUGGCAAGCGUUGUCCGGAAUUAUUGGGCGUAAAGCGCGCGCAGGUGGUUCCUUAAGUCUGAUGUGAAAGCCCCCGGCUCAACCGGGGAGGGUCAUUGGAAACUGGGGAACUUGAGUGCAGAAGAGGAUAGUGGAAUUCCAAGUGUAGCGGUGAAAUGCGUAGAGAUUUGGAGGAACACCAGUGGCGAAGGCGACUGUCUGGUCUGUAACUGACACUGAGGCGCGAAAGCGUGGGGAGCAAACAGGAUUAGAUACCCUGGUAGUCCACGCCGUAAACGAUGAGUGCUAAGUGUUAGGGGGCUUCCGCCCCUUAGUGCUGCAGCUAACGCAUUAAGCACUCCGCCUGGGGAGUACGGUCGCAAGACUGAAACUCAAAGGAAUUGGCGGGG